Non-coding RNA from Cinara cedri, 419 nucleotides. NCBI's taxonomy places the organism in Eukaryota, Metazoa, Arthropoda, Insecta, Hemiptera, Aphididae. The record is from the annotation of a GenBank genome assembly.
UUUAAUUCGUGAUUGUGGUUCGAAAAAAAAAGAGGGUUAUUUUUUAACAAAUAACGUAUCCUUGUUAUAUUUUGAUAAUUUUUAUUGAGUAGUCAUAAAUUAGAAUAACAAUACUACAUUAACAUACAACUAUUAUUUUAAUUCUUAGAAUUAAAAAUGUAUGUAAUCUUCUAUGCGUGUAGCAGAAGCAAACAAUAAUAGGUAUCUAAGGUAAAGUUAUUAUAUUAUUUAUGAUUGCUAUGAGAUCAUGGAAUAAUACAGCAGUAGGUUGUGGUAAUUCUUUAGCCUUCUAUAUCGUUGCUCAGGGAUCUAUUUCAAAUUGUAGCAAAACUAUCGCGGUAUAAUAAAACUACCACUAAAAUAGUCGUCAAUUAUAGAGUAACAAAUACAAUUUAUAGUUCGUGAUGAAAAUUAUCAGU